AGUCUGACGGAGCAACGCCGCGUGAGUGAUGAAGGUUUUCGGAUCGUAAAACUCUGUUGUUAGGGAAGAACAAGUACCGGAGUAACUGCCGGCACCUUGACGGUACCUAACCAGAAAGCCACGGCUAACUACGUGCCAGCAGCCGCGGUAAUACGUAGGUGGCAAGCGUUGUCCGGAAUUAUUGGGCGUAAAGCGCGCGCAGGCGGUUCCUUAAGUCUGAUGUGAAAGCCCACGGCUCAACCGUGGAGGGUCAUUGGAAACUGGGGAACUUGAGUGCAGAAGAGGAGAGUGGAAUUCCACGUGUAGCGGUGAAAUGCGUAGAGAUGUGGAGGAACACCAGUGGCGAAGGCGACUCUCUGGUCUGUAACUGACGCUGAGGCGCGAAAGCGUGGGGAGCAAACAGGAUUAGAUACCCUGGUAGUCCACGCCGUAAACGAUGAGUGCUAAGUGUUAGAGGGUUUCCGCCCUUUAGUGCUGCAGCAAACGCAUUAAGCACUCCGCCUGG
Molecule: ribosomal RNA, 505 nt
Filed under: Cytobacillus firmus
Lineage: Bacteria; Bacillati; Bacillota; Bacilli; Caryophanales; Bacillaceae
Description: bacterial SSU rRNA
Rfam family: Bacterial small subunit ribosomal RNA
Source: RNAcentral